AGCCCUUCAUUUUCCUCCCUCCAUCAUCUUGUGUGUCUCCAAUUUGUUCUCAUUUUCCUUUUCUCACCCUCUUCCUCCAUCCAUUCAGAUCUUCGCCAUAUCUUUCUUCGUCUUCGGCUUAUAGAUCAUGGUUCCUCACCAGAUCUCUGGAGGGAGAUCUCGUUUCGAUCUCUUAGCCUGCGUCUGGCGAGCGCUACUCUUCUUUUAGGGAAACCUUGCACGAUCUUCGGUUCUCUUGGUGACUGCAGUCGGAUCAUGCAAGGGAUUCAUGUUGUGUUGCGUGAAGAAGAAACCUAGAAAACCUAAUCUUUUUUGUCCGCGACUGUUUAACUCUUGGUGAUGAUGUCUCGUCGAGAUCCCUCACCAGUGCAUCAGCAGGCACUUGUGUUCAUCUCACGGGUAGUCGUGCAUGGAGUGGAUCUGUGCUCCUUGUUUCUUGAUAUUACUUCUUCUCCUUGUUCUUGGUCAUUUUAGGGUGUUUCCUCCAUUUGAUCCACGCCCUGAAGGGGCCACAGCCAAGAUGCGUGGAUCGAUCCAAGCAGUUGGUCUUUGUGGGUGUGGCACCAUCAAGAUUCACAUGGAUUCGGCCGCCGUUGUACAUGAGAAUCUUGAUGAUGCUGCAUCGACAAACACAUGACUAAUCCCUCGAGAUGUACCAUCAGAUCUUGAGGUGAUCGAUCGCUUCCGUAAGUGUUCCUGGUUUUCUCUCUUCUUCUGUUCGAAUAAUCUAUGAUAUAUUGGAUGUGAGCUGAAGUUGCAGGGAGUAGAUUUUUCAUCUCACACAGUGGACCGGUGAGUUGGUAUGUAUCUAUCUACCUUUGUUCUUCGUGGACGGUUGCCCUCUUUCAUCCUUUUUAUUUCAGUGGAGAUUCGAAAGUAUAAGGGUUGAGAUCUAUAGCUCUCUCAAAAAGGUAUAAUAACAUUUCCUUGUUAAUAUAUAGGAGAAAUUGAAAUUGUUGAUGGGAUAUAUUGUAGUUGUAAUCAUAUGUUCAGCUUUAUCAUUUGAACAAAGAAAACAAUUAUAUAUAUAGUUUCUUGUGAUCAUCCACCAUCAAGGGUUUUAUUGACAGGAUUAGGGUUACCAUCAUCGACUAUGAACUCAGAGCAAGCAUGAUAUCGAUCAAAUUUCUUUUAGAUCGACUGGCAUCUCCUUCCUAAAUUCAUCAGUAGGUGGUGAUGAAGUCUGUUACACUAAUUUUUUUUGCAUGGUUCUUUUCAUAUUCUCCUUCCAUUCUCUCCUAUUUUAGCUGUCAAUAAAAGAUGAAAGAAGACUCCUCAUCUUUUUUUGAUUGGGAAUGUAUCAGCAGAAGUUUCUUCAUCAAAGAAAAAACCUGACAGUGAGUAUCUCAUGAGUGAAUCAAAUAUUAAAUUGAAUCUCUAGCCUCGGAUUGUAAUCGACAAGUCAAGUUCAUGCAAGAACUAUGGUACGGUUCAUCAAAUGAGCAUGCUGCUAGCCUAUGUAGCAUAGAGAUAUUAGGAUCCAUCCUCACUGUGCUACAUGCAAGAUUGUGUAGGAAAGAUCAGCUGGUAAACUGAUCUUACAAACAUGGCAAAAGAAAAUGUUUAGAUCUGGCUGGUCUCAUACUCUUAACCAUCUUUUAGUAGGUAACUUAACGUGUGUAAUCGAAAAGAUUUGGCAAUUGCUUAAUGCAGUUGUAUUCAUCAAAGAUUAUAUAUCUAAGAUUGUGGCGUAGCAAUAAGAUCGGUUACAUAUUGCAUUGCCUCAGUGAUUAUUGCUAAGUUCCUAGCAAAAUAACUAGACUUGAGAAUUGAUCGACAUUAACAUGGUUUUCUUUGGUUCUUAUCUUGAUGCAGAAAUUUUGCUGCAUGUACUGAAGAUAAAGUCAGGUCUUGUCCGAGGGAGGGCCUCAGAUUCCUUCCUGAUGAUUAUUCCCACCAUUCUCUUCUCUCUUCACUUUUAUUGUAUGUUGUCUUCUCUUUUAACACAGGUUUGCAGUAAAUGUUUCUGCUUCGGUUUCUUUUCAAGAGGUUUUGCAGCAGAAGGGGUAACAAAAGACCUCUGAAGCUGCAAACAUAUGAUCCGUGAGAAGGAUACCGAGGGAAAUUCUUAUUUAAGGGGACAAAUAGAUCACAGAACUCAAAAGAAGCAUGAGGAAUGAGCAAGGAUUCACCAUGACCAUUGAAUGAAGGUGGUCAAAUGUGGGCCCCUCGCAAGGGGACAUCCUCCGAGUCCAGUUAUAAUGUGGCAUGGACCAACGUUGAAGGACAUUCUCGCCCAUAAUUGUCUGGAAAACGUACCUUGUAUCUUUUCUCUUCUGUGAACACAAACAAUCAUGCACGCUUUGGGGGUGGGUGGGGAUUCACCUGGACAAUAAUUCUAGUGUACAAAGCCUACACAAUUGGAGGUAGUAUUUGAUAUGCGGACACCGUAUGUUAGACACACAAAAGAGUGAUAGAAGAAUAAGCAUGCAUGUACUUGAUUAUUCAAUGUAACGGUGUUUUGCUAGUACAAUUAA
This is a long non-coding RNA of Musa acuminata AAA Group (dessert banana), 2477 nucleotides long. RefSeq lists it as uncharacterized. The record is from RefSeq and is a predicted model, not a curated record. NCBI's taxonomy places the organism in Eukaryota, Viridiplantae, Streptophyta, Magnoliopsida, Zingiberales, Musaceae. The transcript has 2 exons.